AUCAAGCGUUAAUUGACAUUACAGUCAAACAAGCAUUGACCUGAGUUUAAGUUGGCUUAACAUUGAGUUCAAGCAUGAGUUGACAUUAAACUGUUUAUGUUAAGAGGAUUGGGCUGGGUGCUGUGGCUCAUGCCUGUAAUGCCAGCACUUUGAGAGGCCAAGACAGAUGGAGUCUUGCUGUGUCACCCAGGUUGGAGUGCAGUGGCAUGAUCUCAGCUCACUGCAACCUCCGCCUCCCAGGUUCAAGUGAUUCUCCUGCCUCAGUCUCCAAGUAACUGGGACUACAGAUACACUGAAUGUGUUCCAGUUGUACUUUGGUUGACUCUGUGAUUUUCUUCACAGAAGAUCAUGCCGUCUACAAACAAAUAGGAUUUUACUUCUUUCUUUCUGAUUUGGAUGAGUUUGAUUUCUUUUGCUAUUUCAUUGCUCUGGCUAGGACAGCCAGUAUUGAUUGAAUAGAAGGGGUGGAGCAUUCUUGCAUCAUGUGAGAUCCUACAGGAAAAGCAUUCCAUUUUCCCUGAUUGGUUAUUUACACUGUGGUCAUUUCAUGGAUUGUCUUUGUAUUGUUGAGGUAAAUUUCCUUCUUUAUCUAUUUUGCUUAGGAUUUCCAUGAUGACUGGACGUUGAAUUUUGUGAAAUGCUUUUUCUCCAUGUAUUGAGAUGAUGUGGUUUCCAUCUUUCAUUCUGUUCAAGUGGAAUAUCACAUUAAAUUGCUUGAAUAUGUUGAACCAUCCUUACAUCUCAGAAAUAAGUGGCACUUGAAUAUCUACAAUCCUUUUUAUAUCGUCUUGAAUACAGUUUGCUAGUACAAGGGGUCUUCAGGAAGUUCAUGAAAAAUACAUAUUAUGAGAAAAUUGUGCAUGACGUCACAUUUUUUUGCACCAAAAUAAAAUGGUACAAAUUUGUUAUGUGUAAACAGGGUCUAGUUUGAGGCACUCAGAAGGGUAAGAUGAGUUUGAAAAGAGAAUCUAUCAAAGCAAUGUAAAUUCUGCUAAAAUUGAAAGAAGAAAAAAC
Cercocebus atys (sooty mangabey) is the source of this 1014-nucleotide long non-coding RNA. RefSeq lists it as uncharacterized. NCBI's taxonomy places the organism in Eukaryota, Metazoa, Chordata, Mammalia, Primates, Cercopithecidae. The transcript has 3 exons. The record is from RefSeq and is a predicted model, not a curated record.